CCUACGGGAGGCAGCAGUGAGGAAUAUUGGUCAAUGGCCGGAAGGCUGAACCAGCCAUGCCGCGUGAAGGUCAGUGCCCUAUGGGCGUUAAACUUCUUUUGUGCGGGAGCAAUAAUGGUCACGUGUGGCCAGACGAGAGUACCGUACGAAUAAGCAUCGGCUAACUCCGUGCCAGCAGCCGCGGUAAUACGGGGGAUGCAAGCGUUAUCCGGAUUUAUUGGGUUUAAAGGGUGCGUAGGGUGUGAGGUAAGUCAGCGGUGAAAUGCCCCCGCUCAACGGGGUGAAGUGCCAUUGAUACUGGCGUGCUGGAGUGCGGAAGCCGUGGGAGGAAUGUGUGGUGUAGCGGUGAAAUGCAUAGAUAUCACACAGAACACCGAUUGCGAAGGCAUCUCACGAAUCCGCGAUUGACGCUGAUGCACGAAAGCGUGGGUAUCAAACAGGUUUAGAUACCCUUGUAGUC
This 460-nucleotide ribosomal RNA is filed under the name uncultured bacterium. RNAcentral describes it as "partial 16S ribosomal RNA". It matches the Rfam family "Bacterial small subunit ribosomal RNA", at positions 338 to 795 of the family's 1533-position model. The record is from RNAcentral.